GAAAACCUACCUACAAAAGUGAUUGUCUCAGAAAUGAGAGACUAGGGACUAGGGCAAAUCGUUCAAUUCAAUUUGCCCGAAUCGGUGGCGAUGGCGAUCGACUCGGUAGAGGGAGGUUCGGUCCGGCGGAAAAGUUGGUGGCUCGAUUCGUCGAUCGCCGUCGAGUUUCUUGACCCCGAUAUUCUAGGGUUCUUGAGACGGAGCAGGAUACCAUUACUUUGCUGUCCAGCUGUGGGGGUUUCUACUUUCUCGUUUGAAGUCCGUUGGAUUUUUGACAUGUUGCCCAGUCAACCAGCCACAGUGAUUCAGUGGUUUGUGUACUUGGGAAGUCUCCUGAGGUCUACUGGUACACAUCAAUAUUGGACAUCUGCUUAACCAAGUGUUCUGACGAGAGACCCAAGCCACACUGCGCCGCUUUGUUUGCAUUCGGACAGUGGCAAGAUUUCAGAUCAACAAGGCUAGUUGGAUGUUGAUGAUGAUCAAAGUGAGGACAAAGGGUGAAACUGUAGAGGGGACCUCCAGGAGGGUGAGGAAAAUGGCAAAGCAAUGGGACCUCCGAACUUGUAUGCAGUGCUGCAAACUACUGGUCAAUGGUUUUUCAGGGAUAUUUUUUUUUUUAUUCACUUUAUCAACUGUUUUUAGGAAUGUGACUGUAAA
This is an RNA transcript of Rosa chinensis, 657 nucleotides long. RefSeq lists it as uncharacterized. The transcript is spliced from 4 exons. NCBI's taxonomy places the organism in Eukaryota, Viridiplantae, Streptophyta, Magnoliopsida, Rosales, Rosaceae. The record is from RefSeq and is a predicted model, not a curated record.